GAUGAACGCUAGCGGCAGGCCUAACACAUGCAAGUCGAGGGGUAACUAGAGUGAUAGCAAUAUUACUUUGGCUAGACCGGCGCACGGGUGCGUAACACGUAUGCAACCUACCUUAUACUGGGGAAUAACUUCGAGAAAUCGGCGCUAAUACCCCAUAACAUUGCGAAGAGGCAUCUCUUUGCAAUUAAAGCUCCGGCGGUAUAAGAUGGGCAUGCGUCCAAUUAGCUAGUUGGUGAGGUAACGGCUCACCAAGGCUACGAUGGGUAGGGGUUCUGAAAGCAUGAUCCACCACACUGGUACUGAUGCACGGACCAGACUCCUACGGGAGGCAGCAGUGAGGAAUAUUGCGCAAUGGACGAAAGUCUGACGCAGCCAUGCCGCGUGCAGGAUGACGGCCCUAUGGGUUGUAAACUGCUUUUGUACGGGAAUAAACCCUUCUACGUGUAGGAGGCUGAAGGUACCGUAAGAAUAAGCACCGGCUAACUCCGUGCCAGCAGCCGCUGUAA
This 506-nucleotide ribosomal RNA is filed under the name uncultured bacterium. Its description in RNAcentral is "partial 16S ribosomal RNA". It matches the Rfam family "Bacterial small subunit ribosomal RNA", at positions 28 to 523 of the family's 1533-position model. The record is from RNAcentral.